CCUACGGGGUGCAGCAGUGGGGGAUAUUGCACAAUGGGGGAAACCCUGAUGCAGCGACGCCGCGUGGGUGAAGAAGCGCCUCGGCGCGUACAGCCCUGUCAGCAGGGAAGAAAAUGACGGUACCUGAAGAAGAAGCCCCGGCUAACUACGUGCCAGCAGCCGCGGUAAUACGUAGGGGGCAAGCGUUAUCCGGAUUUACUGGGUGUAAAGGGGGCGCAGACGGCGAUGCAAGCCAGGAGUGAAAGCCCGGGGCCCAACCCCGGGACUGCUCUUGGAACUGCGUGGCUAGAGUGCAGGAGGGGCAGGCGGAAGUCCUGGUGUAGCGGUGAAAUGCGUAGAUAUCAGGAGGAACACCGGUGGCGAAGGCGGCCUGCUGGACUGCAACUGACGUUGAGGCCCGAAAGCGUGGGGAGCAAACAGGAUUAGAUACCCCAGUAGUC
Molecule: ribosomal RNA, 440 nt
Filed under: uncultured bacterium
Lineage: Bacteria
Description: partial 16S ribosomal RNA
Rfam family: Bacterial small subunit ribosomal RNA
Source: RNAcentral